Molecule: ribosomal RNA, 440 nt
Filed under: Chelonus (Microchelonus) sp. CXX-2005
Lineage: Eukaryota; Metazoa; Arthropoda; Insecta; Hymenoptera; Braconidae
Description: eukaryotic LSU rRNA
Source: RNAcentral
CCUGAGAACCCAAAAGAUCGAAUGAGGAGAUUCAUCGUCAAUGUAUGUGGUAUUAAUGCUAGUUAUGAUAUGGUAGAUAAUCCUUGUGGUUACUAUACUGUACAUUCUAGUAUUAUUUUUGCCAUGUACGUCGGCGUGCACUUCUCCUCUAGUAGAACGUCGCGACCCGUUAGAUGUUGAUCUGUGGCCUGAUUGAUUGCCUCUAUCUGCUUGCAGUUGGAGAUCAUUAGUGUUCCUGAUCAACUGUUUGACGGUACUCGUAUGGUAUUCAGUCGCUAUCAUUAGCGUUAAGAUCAUUGCAAGUGCGGUUGAUAUUCGACAGUGCGGAUCUAAUGCCGUCGUUGACGUCAAUCACCUGUUAGCGAUGAUUUUCUUUAACUGACUUAUAUACCGGUCAGCGACCCUUCUGCUUUGGGUACUUUCAGGACCCGUCUUUGACA